Populus trichocarpa (black cottonwood) is the source of this 1096-nucleotide long non-coding RNA. RefSeq lists it as uncharacterized. The record is from RefSeq and is a predicted model, not a curated record. Lineage: Eukaryota; Viridiplantae; Streptophyta; Magnoliopsida; Malpighiales; Salicaceae. The transcript has 2 exons.
GUAGGAAAGCUCUCCUAUAUAAAGAGAAUUGCCUUCGAGUCAUGGAGACUCAAACAAAGAGUCUGAUAUAUACGAUGGAAGGGAUGAGAUAGGUGAGAUUAGCAGGGGGCAAAACGGCACGAGAAAGGGCCAAAAGGAAGUAAGAGUAGAGUUGGAAGAAAUAAGAGAAGAGUCGAGCCAAACUAAAAGAGGAAACUAAUAUAAUCUCUCUGCAGAAUGCUGCGCGCAAAGCAACAUCGUCUAGAUCUGAAACAUAAGAUCAAGCAGAAGUUGGUUUGCUGCACUCUGCUGGGAGAUUAGAUUAGUUUCCUCUUCUAGUUUGACAGCCUCUUCUCUUAUUUCCUCAAACUUCUCCCUGACUUCCUUUUGCCCCUCUCUUAUGCGUUUUUGGCCCCCGCUAAUCUCACCCAUCUUGUUACCUUUUUUCAUCAGACAGGAAACCAGAGAUUUAAAAUGGCGUGCUUAAUUUUUGUCAUCUUGGUUCUGAAGCUGAAAUUCCAUUUCCAUAAUCACUAAUUAAUCAGGCAUAAUAAUCAAGAACAACAGGAGAUGUUCGCCCUGAUGGGACGGAAAGGGAAAGCGCAGCAGGUGGAGAAAAGAAGACUAAUUUUCCGUGAAAGCAAUGUUUUCGAUUUGGGUUUACUUCCCGUAGAAUGACCGAGAAGAAGGAGAAUGGACUCUGGCAAAAGGUCAAUGCAGAGGCACAAUUCCUGGAAGCUUUUCUCCUUUUUCCUUCAAGGGCGCCUAUUGUCAACUCCAGCCAGCUAUUCGCUGAACAAGUGAUAACACAUGCCCAACUUGUUCAGAAAGACUAAAAGCAAGGGAGCAGUCCAAUUGGGCUGCUAAUAGCAACAAGAGACAAAUGAUCCACAAAGCAACAAAAAACUCUACUGGUGUAUCGGUAUAAACAUGCUGUUGUCACACAUCUUACCAUAUUUCGGACCUUAUAUUGUGUGAACGUCCGGCAGAAAGUUGAAUUCAGAAUAGUUUUUAUUUUUUUUAAUUUCCAAUCAUUAUACAAGGUAUAUUACUCCCCUAACAAAUGUUACAAUGAGUUGUUUCCUUGUUAUGUUGUUAAGAAGAUUAGGUUUUGUUC